RNAcentral lists this ribosomal RNA (1530 nucleotides) under Triticum aestivum (bread wheat). Its description in RNAcentral is "partial small subunit ribosomal RNA". Lineage: Eukaryota; Viridiplantae; Streptophyta; Magnoliopsida; Poales; Poaceae. The record is from RNAcentral.
AUGCGCGUGGCAUUUGAUCAUCAGCAGCAAGACUUGGUUGAUGCAGCAUCAAAGUCUUUAGCAUAUAGACAAGAUAUUAUCGAGGAAAACAUCCGCCUGGCAUAUGCAUUGCAGACUGCACAUCAAGAGAGGUCAAUGUUCAUAUCCUCUUUGCUGCCUAUUCUGUCUGAAUAUGAGAACCUACGACCGUCUGUCCCCGAUGCUCAAUCCAUUGUUGGUAAUUUGAAGGUUCUGUUUAGGCAUCUGCAGGAGCAACUAAUGCUCACCGAGGAGAAAGUUAAGGAGUCACACUAUCAGAUUACCCCAUGGCAAAAUGAAUUGCCAAAUAAGACCGGCCUUCCUGUGCAGUCACCUAACAACCCUCUUGGAAAAGUAUCGUACAAAAGCGGCCUUGAUAUUGUGCCCCAGACGCCAUAUCCUCAGGUACAAUCUCCAAUGUCUUCCCCUUCCCCUGUUCAAGCCAGAGGUAAUUGGAAAAACCAUCAAGUAAUUCCAACUGAGGUUCCUACAAGAAUUAUGGAUCAAGAUUACGGAGGAAGGACCGCUCUUUCAAGCAGCAACCAAUUUAGGAAGGAUGUUCCUGCUCAAGCGUCUCAACGUGAUUCUGAUGCUCUGCAGUUUGGUUUCGUUGCUCAGAAGUCGAGCCUACCACUCGAGGGCCCUAGUAGAAGGUAUGUCUUGGAUGAUUCUGUGGGGGCUGAAGACCAACAUGUGCGCGAACCUUCUGCUCAGUGGGGUUCUGGAGACUCACCUAAUUUAGAAUCUGGCCUUGAGGAAGCAAACCCUUCAUAUCCCUAUCUUCCUACUGUUCCCGAGGAGCCUGGUUCUUCUUUUUCUGAAGCUGCAGAGGAUGAUCCAUUGCCAGGCAUAGAGGGUCUUCGAAUCACGGGUGAGCCUUUUCCCGGACGGGACCUUCAAGCAAGUGGGUUCUCCAUCAACGGAACCACAAGUUGUAAUUUUGAGUGGGUUCGUCAUUUGGAUGAUGGCUCCGUAAAAUUCAUAGAAGGAGCAAGGCAACCCACCUAUUUGGUUACUGCUGAUGAUGUUGAUAAUCUACUAGCCAUUGAAGUCCAACCCCUAGACGACAGAAAAAGAAAGGGUGACAUCGUAAAGGUUUAUGCUAACGAUCAAGCAAAAAUCACUUGCGACCCUCAAACAAAGGAACUCAUUAAGAAAACCCUUGAAGUUGGGCAUGUGUCUUAUCAAGUCCAACUGCCCCAGGUGAGAUUCUUAGACAUGUGGGAACCAGCUGUUUUGGCAAUAAAGAGGGAAGGUUACAGCAUUAAAUGUAACGGGCAGCGUGGUGUUGUUCUCACGGAGAAAUUUCAGAAAGCAACUGCUAUUAAUAUUCCAUACGGAUAUGAGCGUCAGACAGAGUUUUCGAUUGUGUCGGCUGAUGGUGACGAGUAUAAUCUCCAGCCAGCAGACAAUAACACGUCGCGGGAUACGAUUGUGCUGGUGCUAAGACUGUUCAGAUCAAUGGCCGUCGAGAAGCGGCGGGGGAGGAAGAAGGGCCUCUUCUUCAAGUAG